Long non-coding RNA from Gambusia affinis (western mosquitofish), 925 nucleotides. RefSeq lists it as uncharacterized. Lineage: Eukaryota; Metazoa; Chordata; Actinopteri; Cyprinodontiformes; Poeciliidae. The transcript has 3 exons. The record is from RefSeq and is a predicted model, not a curated record.
AGGCACUGCCGAUAAAGUUUUGGAGAAGUGGCCCACCAGUCUCAAAUCCAAGGUUAUAAAGGAAAGCCAUGGCCUGGUACCCACCACUGAGCUUUUGGAUUUAUUGCGGAAUGCAGAGUUGGCUGCUGAAGCUGAGAACGGUUGGGAUAGUGACAUGUCUGCUAUUUUGCUUCUGCUGCAUCUGCUACCACCAUCUGCACAAGGACGAAAGAGGCCGGGUAAGAUGUCUGCAUCUCAAGCAGUGGAUCACCUCAUCAGAUUUCUAAAGGUUGGAACCAGUGUGCAGCAGCAUCUUGACAAAAUCACCCAACGUACCCAGCCCUACCUCCUUGGCCAGGGAUCCAUCCAAAGCAGUAUUCACCCAUUCUUCAUUGUGAUUGACAACUAUGCUAUUCCAUGUAAGGCAACAUGUUCAGUUGGAGCUCUUGAUGAGCUCUUUAAGACCCAUUAUGUGUUUGGUACGUCAUACAGUGCUCCCUUGACCAACUUAUUGAUUUAUUUAUUUAUUUGAAAUGCCUGUCUUUUACCAGAUCAAGUCUGUGUUCAUAGUUAAAGACAAAUUGUUGCUGCUUACAUUGCCUUUAUGUACAGUAUCUUUUUUAAUGAACAUUUUCAUGCUUAUGAAGUUACUAAAAUGAUGCAAGGUUUUGUUGUGUUUGAUGUCAACCAUCUAUGUUAUCCGAAGCCCUUUGACAUACAAAUGUCAUAUGAAGCAAAUGACACUGCUCUUUUUGUUUGUCCCGUAUUGCUAUCUUUGGUGAACAUUGUUUUGAAGAUGGUUAAACUGACACUGUUACAGUAAUUAUGUCACUGGAUCAUAAAGUUGAAUAAAUGUUGUCACUGUGAACUUAAAACUUUGUGUUUAUUGUGAUUGGUAGAUUUUAUAAAAGCCAUACAAUGCUAAAAUUUAGCAUUAUAUAGUAUA